Molecule: long non-coding RNA, 2028 nt
Organism: Callithrix jacchus (white-tufted-ear marmoset)
Lineage: Eukaryota; Metazoa; Chordata; Mammalia; Primates; Cebidae
Source: Ensembl
AUGGGAACUAAAAGCCGGUCCAGGAACUCUGAGCCCUGGGUCAUCUACUCCAGCUUCACUGGGCUGAGAAAUAGACUGUGUCUUGUUGACACCGCUCCUGUUUCAGUUUUGUCAUUCUCUUUGGAAAGUUUGUGGGAUGCUCUGGGCUUCAUUCCUUUGAGGGUUCUUGUCCGCGGGGCCAGCAGAUGGCUCUGGGGACCUAGUGAGGAGGCUCACAGCCCUGCAGAGUCUUAUCCAUUAACACACAUACCGGGUGUAGGGAGGAGUUCUGCCCUUGCCACUUCCGUGGGAGGAGGGCGGUGGGGAAGCCAGGACGGUCCUGCAGUUCCAGCGUGGCCUCCUCUGCUGAGGCUCCCGGCGGUCCUGACAGAUGGGGCCGGGUCCUGCUACCACCUGAAGCGUGACAUGUGGCGGCCACCUCCCCGGGGUCCUGCUGAACAUCUACUCUUUCAGGCCCCAGGGCCUCCCCUUCCUUUCGGACCGCGAGGAGAACAGCACACCAUUGCCAGCCGCUUGUUGACGGCUGUGAAGGGGUCCCUUCUCCAGAGGGGGGUCCUUCUGGGGCUGCUGAAGCCAAGAGUCACUAAGGGCACCUGCCGCCUCCUCUGCCCCAGGGCGCCUCUGACCUCGCGGCUGCCCGCAGCCCUCCAACCCGCCCCGCGCCCGAGCCAGUACCACACGAGCCUUGUGCGUCCCGGCCCCGCCGUCAGCCCCGGCGCCCGCCCUGCCUGCCGACCUCCCUGGGGCGGAGGACUCGGGGCCCGCGGGGGUCGGCGCAGGGCGGAAGGCGGGAACGCCGCGGCCGGAGGCGCAGUGAGGGCGGCGGCCACAGGGCGGCAGCACCACCGCUGCUGCUCCGACCCCUGCGCCUGGGUGAGAUCGGUGGGAGCCCCGGGCGCGCCUCCUCAGCCCCUUAGCUGCCGCGCAGGUCCCCGCGGGCCGGGCCGGGCCGGGCGGGGCCUCCGGCGAGGUCCUUGCUGCGUCGGGGCCGCCUCCCCACCCGCCGGGCGCACUGGAGCCCCACGCGCGGCGGCGUCUGGUGGGCGGGGCGGGGUCCCUGGAAUGAGCCGCGCAUCCCGGGCGCGACCCGAGCGCUGGGGCGAGUGGGUGCGCGGCACUGCGGGCUGGGAGCGCCCCUCGACUCGGCCCUCGCCCCUCGCGGCCCCGGCGCUUUCCGGGUGCGCCCGCGCCCCGCCCCCACCGUCCCCGCCCUGUGCGCGGGGGCCCAGAGUGGCCCGGCCGGCGUUGAAUGCAGAGAUGGGGCUUUGUGAGCGGCCGUCCCCCGCGCGCGCCCCCCGCGGCCCUCCCUCUCCCCCCGCGCGCCCCCCGCGGCCCGGCCCCUCCCCCGUGCGUACCCCGCAGCCCGGCCCCUCCCCCCGCACCCCGGGCCCGGCCCCCGCCCUCAUUAGCAUAGCAGCUGCUCGCCGAGCCGGACGGCGCGGAGGAGAGGGCAGAGGCCUCGGGAAUGAAUGGGGGCCGGGGCUUUGGAGGCGAGAGAAGAAAGACCGACAGACGGACGCGCGGAGAACGGUCGGAAGGACGGCCCCGCAGAAGAAUGCGCCGGACGGGCUUGGGGGGCUUCCCGCGGGGGGCGGGGCGGCUCCGGGCGAUGGAGCCGGAGUGUGCGGGGUUGGGCCCAGGGACCCGGCGCCCCGAGGGUUUGCACCGGAGGAAGGAGCAGUUGCAGAGGUUCCAAGACGGGCCACGGUCCCCUCCCGUGGCCUGCGCCCUCGCAUCCCGGCCUGGGGUUCUUUCCCCAGCUGUCCCCGGCGCGGGCCUCCUUUCCCGUUCUUCAAGGCCCUGGUGGACGCUGCCUUCUCCCCGCGGGCCAAGCGAGCUUCAGGAGCAUCUGCCUUCCGGAGGUCAGAGGCUUUUGCGCCGGGUGUUCCCGCGUCCACGCCCCCUCUGUCCCGACCUGUGCGGAGGCAGCUUCUUCCCGCUCUCCCCCGCACCCCGGCUUCUAAGUCCUGCCCGCCCUCUGGCCUGCUCCCACGCCUGCUGGCUUUAGACAUCACUCUUUCUAGCUGA